CGUGGGGUAGACUACUGAACAAGUCUACGGGCUCAUAACCUGGAAAUAUGAGGAUUCAUCCCCGUGA
RNAcentral lists this transfer RNA (67 nucleotides) under Anadara antiquata. Its description in RNAcentral is "tRNA-Met". Lineage: Eukaryota; Metazoa; Mollusca; Bivalvia; Arcoida; Arcidae. The record is from RNAcentral.